GUGUCAGCAGCCGCGGUAAUACGUAGGGGGCAAGCGUUGUCCGGAAUUAUUGGGCGUAAAGCGCGCGCAGGCGGCUUACUAAGUCUGGUGUGAAAGCCCACGGCUCAACCGUGGAGGGCCAUUGGAAACUGGUAAGCUUGAGUGCAGGAGAGGAGAGCGGAAUUCCUGGUGUAGCGGUGAAAUGCGUAGAUAUCAGGAGGAACACCCGUGGCGAAGGCGGCUCUCUGGCCUGUAACUGACGCUGAGGCGCGAAAGCGUGGGGAGCAAACAGGAUUAGAUACCCUGGUAGUCC
RNAcentral lists this ribosomal RNA (292 nucleotides) under uncultured bacterium. Its description in RNAcentral is "partial 16S ribosomal RNA". It matches the Rfam family "Bacterial small subunit ribosomal RNA", at positions 505 to 796 of the family's 1533-position model. The record is from RNAcentral.